Molecule: non-coding RNA, 87 nt
Filed under: unclassified sequences
Description: RAGATH-35 RNA
Rfam family: RAGATH-35 RNA
About the family: Clostridium (Firmicutes). Nearby to self-cleaving ribozyme genes
Source: Rfam by way of RNAcentral
AUAUGGUAAGCAACAGUCAAGUACUGUUUCGGGAUGGCUUAUCAGAAAUGAAUAAUCCGGCUUCCGUGUCCAUGCUGUCCGGACUCA